AUGGAUGUGUGCAAAAAGAAGGAGUCACUUCCCAGAGGGUGUCACAGUGACUGGGGCUUCUGGAGGCUGGACAAGGGGGUGAUUCUUUCUGAUCCCAUCAUAGCUGCCUGUUGUGGUACCUGCAGGAGCUGGAUGGUGGAGCCAGAUGAUGGAGCCAGGAUUGGGCAACAACAUACAUUCGAGGCAUCCACCUUUCCUGGACCCCUUUCAACUUCCCCAGGUAUUUCUGGGAGAGCCCAGAGAUGUCACACAUGAACUCUCACGGCCUAUGAAUGAAGAACCUUCUGCUGGAGUGAGGGGCUGCGGAGGGAGGGAGGACGAAAAAUGAGGAUGGGAACGCGACCUAUACCUGCAACCUCUAAGAAGUUGUGAACAGUUGUGCCAAGGGGGCGGUGUCCCCUCCCACUGCGCAUCUUCCGCUGCGCAGGUGCUACUGCGCAUCUUCUAGUGCGCAUGUGCCACGGACGCUUUCUGAGCCCGCGUUUUCCAGAGCCCGCGUUUUCCAGAGCCCGCGUUCCCGUGAACCCAAGUCUAGCUUCAGGCCGGGGUCUCUUCCUAGGCCUCCUACCUGAGUCUGUGAUGCAGGUUUGAGCAUCAGUAUCUGAGACUGACACCAUCUGUCCGCGAUUCUAAGACGCCUCCAGCCCUCACAAGAGCAGCUCUCCUCUGCAAGCUGCCUGAGAAAAAAAGGAAGGAAAAAACCUGAAACCAAGAACUCAUCCAGCCGCCAGUACCUACCAUCAUCCCCAAACAGAAGUUUUUCAGGGCUCAGGUCUGGCUGCCCUGCAUUCCAGGCUUUUCCAGGCUUUUCCCACCUGGCUUCCCCACCCCAGGCGAUGCUGGUAAGGAGAAACCUUUGAAAUAGAUGAGUGCUUUGCAUGAGAAUUGAUAAGUAAUUUAACCUCAGUACAAACUGCUUGUGGAGGAAGCGGUAUCCCUGAAAUAAUUUUAAGGCCAGUGCAUAAAACUCUUAGGUAAAAAUACCUCAGCUAAUGGUUAUUGAUCUUCUGAAAUCACGUUCUUAAUUUUGAAGAUAGUUGAAAGAAGGGGGGAACACCACAAAGAGAGUUGGCAAAUUUCAAACUGCAUGUUGAAUUUUCACACGAUUUAGGCCAAAACGCUCUGCAAUUUGUAGAUCUGUAAAGGUUAAAAUUCCUCAGACCACAUGUUUUCUUGAGCUGCAGAAUCAUGGCCAGGGGCUUGCUAGGGAUGUCUUCAGCAGCAGAUAUUUGUUGCGGGGAGAAAAGCCUUGUAU
RNAcentral lists this long non-coding RNA (1255 nucleotides) under Sus scrofa (pig). Its description in RNAcentral is "lncRNA (ENSSSCG00070014729.1)". The record is from RNAcentral. Lineage: Eukaryota; Metazoa; Chordata; Mammalia; Artiodactyla; Suidae.